This is a non-coding RNA of Leptonychotes weddellii (Weddell seal), 4735 nucleotides long. NCBI's taxonomy places the organism in Eukaryota, Metazoa, Chordata, Mammalia, Carnivora, Phocidae. The record is from RefSeq and is a predicted model, not a curated record.
AGAUAAUUCAUACAUGUAAAAAAGUGAAAAUGUCAAAUAUGCAAAAGUUCAAUUUAAGAAAAAAUGCAGUACGAUGGUGAAACUUUUCUAAUUUGUAUUGGAUCUCUCUUCCUUUUGCUAGAUGGGAAGGAAUAUGAUAUUUAUGUAUCUUAUGCAAGGAAUGCUGAGGAAGAAGAGUUUGUGUUACUGACCCUCCGUGGAGUUUUGGAGAAUGAAUUUGGAUACAAGCUGUGCAUCUUUGACCGUGACAGUCUACCUGGGGGAAAUACAGUGGAAGCAGUUUUUGACUUCAUUCAGAGAAGCCGAAGGAUGAUUGUUGUCCUGAGCCCAGACUAUGUGACAGAAAAAAGCAUCAGCAUGCUGGAGUUUAAACUGGGUGUCAUGUGCCAGAACUCCAUCUCCACCAAGCUCAUUGUGGUUGAGUACCGUCCCCUUGAGCAUCCACACCCAAGCAUCCUGCAGCUGAAGGAAUCUGUGUCUUUUGUGAGCUGGGAGGGAGAAAAGUCCAAACAUUCUGGCUCUAAAUUCUGGAAGGCCUUGCGGUUGGCUCUUCCCCUGAGAAGUCUGAGUGCCAGCUCUGGCUGGAAUGAAAGCUGUUCUUCCCAGUCUGACAUCAGUCUGGACCAUGUUCAAAGGAGGAGAAGUCGUUUGAAAGAGCCCCCAGAACUCCAGGGCUCAGGGAGAGCUGCAGGCAACUCUCCAGCCCCAGACACAAUUUCCAAGCACAGAGGGAAGCCCUCUGCAGCCUGUCGUUGCUGUGUCACCUACUGUGAAGGAGAGAGUCAUCUCAGGAGCAAGAACCGGGCAGAGAUACAUACCCAGCCCCAGUGGGAAACACACCUCUGUAAGCCUGUUCCCCAAGAAUCAGAAACUCAAUGGAUACAAAAUGGCACCAGAUUGGAACCCCCUGCUUCCCAGAUCUCAGCCCUUGCUCUUCACCAUUUCACGGAUUUAUCCAAUAACAAUGACUUCUAUAUCCUAUAAUUACCAUGUGGUGGGUGGAGGCUGCUAUCUAUCUAUACCAGCCCUCUUUGUGUCAUGAACCUAUGGGAAUAAUUGACAUUUUUAUCAUCUAAUGGACUACCAGACUGUGUCCCCUUUAUUGACUUUUAAAAACUAUUUAUUUCUAGGAGACAAAAGACCUGAGGACCUGAAUCCAGAAUUAUUGCCUCUAAUGGCCUCAGAAGAGCACACUCUUCUUGGGCCCUAGAAGGUCAGUAUGUGAAAGUUGCCUAAAGUCUGAUCCUCUGUCUUGCCCAAUGGUUUCAAACUGAGCAAAGAAUUUAAGUGUGUUUCCUUUGAGUUUGUUGAUCAACCUCAUAUUAUGAGUCAGUCAGGUGUACUUGGGCUAUGACACUUAAACUAUGUAUAUUCCAAGAGAGCAUUGUGGAAAUGAGUUGAUUGUGGUGGAAGCUGUAAGAUUAAGUUCUACUAAAAGCCUACAGCACAUUUUCCCUGGAAGAACCAAACACACUCACACAGGGAUACAUGGUGUUCUAUCUCACUGUAAACUAGUGUUCUAUAAACUGCCUAAAGUUGUUAGCAUCAAUAAAGUUAUAUUUUUAUGUGAUUUCAUUUGUACUAACAAAUUUUUACUUGUCUUUCCCCUCUUCUUUUUAUGGCUUUUGAAUUCAUAUCAGAAGAGAAUUCCAUUUCAGGAAAUCAAGACUUGGUUUAGGUACUAGGAAAGUUUGAGGUGUCUCUUUAGUUUCUUUCUAACGUGUAUGGAGGGGAGAUUGGGGAAAGGACAGAAAGAGAGUGAGAAAAUGUUUCAAAUGAAAUGGAAGUUUACACAAAAAUCUCCUAUUUUUAGAACUGACAGCUGAAAAAUUCAGUAUUGUUAGGGAUUCAGUGUAGCAUUUGGUGUAUGUAUCCCUUCUUUGCAUUCAAGAUUCUGAAGAAGGGAUAGUCAGUCCACGUGCCUACAAGAAUCAGAAAGUAAGAAAAAAGAGAAAAGGGGGCUAGAUAUAAGCAUAAUACACAUGCUGUCCAUCUAAUACCCAUAUGUUUAGGGACAUAGGUAUAGGUACAUAUUUCUUUACUUGAAACAUUUUAACACGAUCAUAAAAGGCACAUGGCAUUUGAUCUGCCAGUGAGGGAGAUAAUAGAGAUGAUUGGGCCUGUGGGUAACUGAAGAAUAUUUCUUAAAAAGGGAGCAUCCUCUACUCAGCUCCAUCAUGAUAGUUGUCACUCAGCCCCAUUGUUGGCAGAUUGUACAGUUUUUCAAAAGAAUCUAAAAAUUAAGAUUUGUACGUAGUCUCUCAACUACAGGAUGUUUUAAAUUUAAAAUAAAAGAAAAAAAAGAACCAACCAAAACACAUGAACACAUAGUCAGCCUGAGGGCCACUAGUUUGUAAUUUUAGAACUAAAAUAUUCACCCACAGAGUAUAUAUCUGAGUGGGGAUUCAAGUGUCCUUGGCAAUACUGAGACUAGAGAACACAGGCAGGACCUAGGACAUAAUGGGACACUUUUAUUCCCUCCCCAAAUAAAAAACAUCUGAAUCCUCAAAAAUAAGGCUGAUCUGACCUACCAUUCAUCAGAGGAGGAAAAAAGCCAGAAAAUUGUGUGCCUUCCAUCUACUCUGAUGGAUGAGUACAGGCUCCCUGUCUGGUGAGGUUACUCUAAAAAAAAAAAUAGAAGCACAAUCUACUCCCCCUAAACAGGAACAGAACAAAAAGAGCAAAAGACCAUACCAGGCGUGAGCAGUCACCUUCAGUACAUUAGUGCUGGCUGCUAGUUAGCUAUGGCCCAAUGAAUGUCAGCCUUUCUCAGUCACUAAUAGUGAAGGAUGGGUGGAGAAAGAAGCCACACAUUUCAUCCCACUACUCCACUUGGAGAGAAAAGCAGAAAAUCCCUUCUCUGUUGAAACAAACUAUUACAUCCUUUUCCUGUUAAAAGAAAAAGAUGUGAGAAUAAGGGACACCCCAGAGUAAAUGUGACUCAUCAUGGAACUUGUAAUUAGGAAAUGACAGACCACCCUACCUGAAUAUCUAGCAGAAAACAAUCCAUAUUCUAUAUUGCAUUUCUUCUUGAACAAAUUAAUCCAACCUUGAUGUAUGUUCAAGGAUCUUCACUUGGAAGACAGACAGCAGUUUCUCUCCCAGUCUAUUAAAAGGGAGUACUGUAUGUUGCUCCAAAUCCUAAAAAGGGAGAGAAUGUUUUUACCCAUAAUCAGUCUUAUUCCUUAUCAGCUCAGUGUCCCAACUACAAAAUAUCUUUGGAAAAAUUGAGAAACUACUCUUGUCAUUUAUGAAUUAUUUUUCGUGUGUGAAAAAAAUAAAGGAUAAGUGGCAAAGGCAUGGAAAUUAAACAUGAGUUCUUAUGAAUGAGUAGCCAGAUAACCGUGUUUUCAAAAGGUAAGUUAGUUUUGGUCAGUAUCAAUUUCCAUUAACAAUAUAAGGACAGUGUAAGCACUAUAAAGUCAUAGCUUUUGGCGUUAGCUACACAGGGGUCAGAAAGGUAAUGGACCAUAUUCCUACUGUAUGAAGAAAGGCUAGGAGGUUAUGUUAUUAGUCUCUGACCAAACAUUCCAUACUUGAGUGUAAUAUUCAUUGCCAUUUAUUUCAAUGAGGCAAAUGAUAAGAAAAUUUUCUCAUGGGUCAUGCAUAUUCAUAACUGAUAUGAUUGCAGGUUAAAUGGAUAUCAUUUACAUAGGAAUGUUGCCUAUUUAGGAGCAGGAGUUUUAAGUCAAGUAGAGAUGAAUGCUCUGAUUUUCUCCAGCCAAGAAGGACUACAAAUCAUCCUUUUAACAAGGUGUUUGCAGGCAAUAGAUGAAAAUAUAGGACAUGUUUAGCCCUUGAAUUGCUUCGACACAGGAGACAAAUAGAGGAGUGGUUGGUACAGUGUAUUUCUAACAUAUGAAGCAUCAAACACUGACAUUUGGAAUCUGGUAGGAUUGCUGUGGUCAUCACAUGUAUUAAUCAGAUUCAGAUAAGCUAUGCUCUGCUAACAAAUAACCCCAACAUUUCAGUAGCUUUAUAUAACAAGACUUAUUUCUUGUUUAUGCUAUAUGUCCAUAUAGGGGCUUACACUUUUGUAGUUUUGCCAUCUGAAAUGUGUGGCUUCCUGCUAUUCUAAACUUCAGCCUAAAUAUGACACUUAACCACUCUCACUUACAACCCAUUGGUCAAAACUAGCUAUGGCACUGAUCUAGUCAUAGAGAAGGCUGGAAAAUGCAUUCUUCCUGUGUUCUUGGGAAGAGAAAAUGAAAUGGAACUUGGUGAACACAUAGGGUUGUCUUUGCCUAAGAAUGAGAUAUUGAGAUUGCCUGAAGAGGCAAGAGAACUACAACUGGAGUUAUGUUACAUACUUUGAUAAUGAAGAAAUGGAAUGAUUUUCCUGCCGAGACCCCACCUCCACUUGCCAAGGUGUCAAGUCAGGUACUUAUGAAAAAACAGUGUACAGAAAUGAAUAGGGUUUGUCCCUAAUUUUCCUAAAGGAAAGUUGUUGAAGGCAUACAUAAUAAUUACAGCUCCUGGUCAAGAAAAAGCAUUCUUAAAAAUUGGGAGCCUCAGAAGGAUUGAAGACAUUUAGAACACAGCAGAGCAUGUAACACAGUCAUUAGAAAGCCUCCCUUGAUCUAUUUAUCUGAAGAGCCAAGUGGGGAAUUCAAACGGAACAUGCUAGAGACCAGAUGAAGGAAGAGACAAAUGCUGCUCUGGGUACUAUGAAGUCAGCUGCUAUCUACGCAUCUGUUCUCUCUAUAAUUUGGACUCUCUGUAUUAAAGAUUUGAA